UACGGGGGGGGCAAGCGUUGUUCGGAAUUACUGGGCGUAAAGGGCUCGUAGGUGGCCAACUAAGUCAUACGUGAAAUCCCUCGGCUUAACCGGGGAACUGCGUCGGAUACUGGAUGGCUUGAAUUCGGGAGAGGGAUGCAGAAUUCCAGGUGUAGCGGUGAAAUGCGUAGAUAUCUGGAGGAAUACCGGUGGCGAAGGCGGCAUCCUGGACCGACAUUGACGCUGAUGAGCGAAAGCUAGGGGAGCAAACGGG
RNAcentral lists this ribosomal RNA (253 nucleotides) under uncultured bacterium. Its description in RNAcentral is "partial 16S ribosomal RNA". It matches the Rfam family "Bacterial small subunit ribosomal RNA", at positions 524 to 776 of the family's 1533-position model. The record is from RNAcentral.